GCAGAGUAGGAAUGUGUGCGUUAAGUGCCGCGGGGACGGGGAGUUGCCGCGCGGACGAAGGAAGGGUUUAGAAGAAACCUUCCGCGGUAUACGUUCCGCAUCCCGCUGC
Molecule: non-coding RNA, 109 nt
Filed under: Massilistercora timonensis
Lineage: Bacteria; Bacillati; Bacillota; Clostridia; Eubacteriales
Description: THF riboswitch
Rfam family: THF (Tetrahydrofolate) riboswitch aptamer
About the family: THF riboswitch presents a pseudoknot that joins P1-P2 and the loop of P3 and two THF binding.
Source: RNAcentral